Caulobacter sp. K31 is the source of this 73-nucleotide non-coding RNA. The record is from Rfam. Lineage: Bacteria; Pseudomonadati; Pseudomonadota; Alphaproteobacteria; Caulobacterales; Caulobacteraceae.
CGCUCCUGCCCUUCCUGGGCGUUUCCUCCCUAAUAACUGCCCGGCCUUCGCGCCGGGCAUUUUUUUGGCUCGC